RNAcentral lists this long non-coding RNA (1470 nucleotides) under Anolis carolinensis (green anole). Its description in RNAcentral is "lncRNA (ENSACAG00000037182.1)". The record is from RNAcentral. Lineage: Eukaryota; Metazoa; Chordata; Lepidosauria; Squamata; Anolidae.
ACACAUUCCACACUCUUUGCUCAACAAAUUGCAGAAUGUUUCCUGUCUCCUAUGAUUUUUGGCGAAUUUUCAUAACUUUUUAUAAUACACUAUUUUUCAAUAUUUGAAGAAACCUGUUCCUGGUUUGAAAGUCUUAUUUCCUGUUCAAUUGGGUUCUUAUCACUGUAAAAGUCCCUCUUCUACUUGUGUAGACUUUGGAUUAGAAAUGCAGCACACGCCAAGCAAUGCCUUGACAGGAUUGGCAACGUCCUUUGGAAACUAUAAAUUGCUGUGGACCCUCUAUUGAAUCAAAUCAAUGUCUGACUUUGUGAUUGCAGAAAUAAAACUCAGCCCAAGGCUUGGGAAUAGAAAUGGAGCGUGAGGGAAGCAAUGCCUUGGCGGGUGCCCCACGUCCUUUGGAAACUAUUUCUUCCAAUGUACCCUUUAGGUUUGAAAACAAUGUGUGUCUUUGUGAUUGCUGCAAUAACACUCAGCCCAGGGGCUUGGGAUUACAAACGGAGCGGGAGGGAAGCAAUGCACUUGCAGGAACGCAGACGUCCUUUGGAAACUAUUAUUUUCAAGUCCCCCCCCCCCUUUCAGGAUUGCAAAGAAGGGCUGAUGUGGUGAUUGCUAAAUUCCAAAAAAGAAAACAGAAAGGCAAAAGGUCUACCUCAGGAGAAGGAACCAACCCAAAGCUCAGCACUAGCAGGGAGGGACACAGACUUCUUUGGAAAAAAAUUCCCAACAUCCACAGCAAGGACUCUGCCCCAAGCCAAUUUCCCCCCAACACAAUAUCUAAGCACUUCAGCAACCCUACCCCCAGUCACUUUGCCCUCUCAGCUUCACGGCGCGCGUGAACCACCCUCUCUCCUCGGUAUCCCAACCCAGAAUGGCUUGGCUCUGUGCGGAGGCGAUUUUCGCGGAGGACGCUAGCCCCCACCUUUUUUAGCCAUCGUGGAAGACUCUGAUUGGCAGGGAGCGGGAGCCAUGUUAGGCUGCGCUAGGCUCCCAUUCAUGUUAGGUUGCAGAAACAAAAAAAAUAAAAAUAAUAAUAUUUUUAAAAUAUUAAAAAAAAAUUGGAGGAAAAAAAUUAACGAAAAUUUUAAGACACAAUUACAGAAUGGGCCAACGAUGGAUCGUAUUACAUUGCCAGUAGCGCCCAGGGAAAACGUUUCAAUACUCAUGUCAAAAAACGGGAACAAUAUGAAAUAAUUACGGUAGGGGAAUUUUUACGACAAUAUGGACAACCCUAAUAUCUUCUAUAUAUAUAUAAAGCUUCUGACCAUUUCUACUUUAAUUAAAACAGCGAAACUACACAAUCCAAAACCACAAAACUUGGCAACAAAAGACAUCAUCCUCCCUGCUGUGUUUAGACAGCAAAAUGAAAAAAACAAACUGCAAGUCCCUUAAAAUCCCAAAAAACAGGAAAACUCCAUGUGCGCAUGCACCAAGCAGCCCCCCCCCAAGAAACAAAGACGUCACACCAUUGCU